UCCGGUUUGUCACCGGCAGUCUCGUUAAAGUGCCCAACUCAAUGAUGGCAACUAACGACAAGGGUUGCGCUCGUUGCGGGACUUAACCCAACAUCUCACGACACGAGCUGACGACAGCCAUGCAGCACCUGUGUCCAGGCUCCCUUUCGGGCACCCUUACCUCUCAGCAAGGUUCCUGGCAUGUCAAGGGUAGGUAAGGUUUUUCGCGUUGCAUCGAAUUAAUCCACAUCAUCCACCGCUUGUGCGGGUCCCCGUCAAUUCCUUUGAGUUUUAGCCUUGCGGCCGUACUCCCCAGGCGGGGCACUUAAUGCGUUAGCUACGGCACGGAACCCGUCGAUAGAGUCCCACACCUAGUGCCCAACGUUUACGGCGUGGACUAC
This 380-nucleotide unclassified non-coding RNA is filed under the name uncultured bacterium. RNAcentral's name for it is "contains 16S-23S intergenic spacer region". The record is from RNAcentral.